CAUACACGGAGCACGGGCUCUCGCCUCCUCUCUCGCUCGCCGCCGCCACCACCCACGUCGGCCGCUUCUCCGGUGACCUCCGGUGCCGUGCAGCACGCCCCGAGCUCCCCACGGUCCACGCCUCCCUCCCCUCCGGCCAGAGUCUCCGCUCCCGUCCUCUACCGCCCGCUCGCAAGCCCAUCCCCCAUGGCUAGGGUUUCGGGUAGGGCUUCGCAGCCGCGUCUCCGGCUGCCCCAGGUUCGUUCCUCGUUCGUUCUUGGUCUCCCUUUAUCUAACUAAUCAUGUUUAGGUUUUUUAGGGGAUAAACAAGGGGAGGUAUAGCAGGGCGUUGGACAUUUGCGGGAGUGGGGGAGAUCGAUGAGGACGAGGACUGUCUGGUGCACUGCUGGUGCGGGGAGGGCAGGGGAGAGGGAUGGCUGCUGCGCUGCUGUUAGCUGCAUAUAGUACUGCUCCUUUCCUGUUGUUUGUUGAUUGCUGCUGCUGCUGCUGCUACUUUGAUGCAGUUGCUGCUAAUUUGAUGUGAAGGACGUGCAGGGACGGACGACGAGUGAGCAGAGGAUUUAUCCGGGACCUAAAUUUGGCAGGUAAAAAUUGGUCUGUUUGCCGCUAGCUGGCUUCAUGUGAUGCUAGUGUGCUAUGGAGAGGUACAGAGGUUAUUUUACAGGACCAUGAAGGUUCAUGAUUGGCAAUUGAUCUUGGGCUAUUGGCUUAUUAUGAUCAAAACUGAGAUUAUAUGCGCCACUGUUAGUGGUCUUGCAGAGUUGGAAUGUUAUGCUUCACUGUAAUUGCUUUACUGAAUCUACAGACUAAGAAAAUUUCUAUUUCUUGUGUCAGGCAAAUGGGUGAGCUCUCACAUCCCUCUCGGUCUCCUUUGAUUUGCUGCUGCUGCUACUUUGAUGCAGUCCAUGACCUCUCUUGGGCCUUGGCAGUGGCGAGCUAGGUGCCGGCGAGGUAGGCGACAUCAUCAAUGAGGGCCAUCAUGGCCUCCACCUGCGCCCUCUUGCAGGUGGACUGCUGGUCAUCGGUGCGGCGGGUCGGGCUCUUGCAGCAACAUCUACGAUAUUCUCUGGACGACCUGCAGGUAGGCCAGUAGAUGAGGAUUCGACGACCACCACCGAGGUAUGCCCUCCUCUCCUUGCCCUUGGGCUGGCAUCUCUGAUCAGGUUGUAAUCUGCUGAUGUAGUGUUGCUCUUUGGGGAUUCCUAUGGGAUCUAUUUUUGAUUGGUCAAAGCUGGUAUGUUGGCCACCGGUUGGUUUAACAUGAUGCUAUAAUGCGCUACGGAGAGAUAUGUUAUUCCAGUACAAGUGGCCGGUCAGUUAAUUUGAGGAUUUUUGCCUUUUGUUCUUCAGGCCUAUAGCUUUGUGGUUUCAGUUCGACAGUUAAAAGUUGCAUUGGCUUGUAAAAAUUCAUGUGAUUGGACCAGUAGGUGAGGAUGAUCUCAUAUGGAAAAUACUGCUCCAUGGUAUUAAAAUCUGUUAUAGGUGUUGGAAGUCAAUGCUAGGAGCUCCUGGGAUGUGCUCAUGCAUGCUUGGUCGGAACUUUUCUUUUGAAUCAAUUGAUGAACCGAUGGCAUCAAAUAUGCCGUAUGUGUACUCCACUACGUACGACAGGGUGGAAACAAGUUUGAUCGAUGGAGAUGGAUUUCUAUCCUGUUGGUGCAAUUGUAUGUUCAGGUGGUUCUUUCAUGUCCGUUCUCUCUAGCUUCUUGAUGUUUUCUUUCUCAGGUGUAAUUUAGUUGCCAUUUGUAAUAGCCAAAUUUUCAUGUCAAACAUGAUUUAAAGAUUUUCUAUGCC
RNAcentral lists this ribosomal RNA (1794 nucleotides) under Triticum aestivum (bread wheat). RNAcentral describes it as "partial small subunit ribosomal RNA". The record is from RNAcentral. Lineage: Eukaryota; Viridiplantae; Streptophyta; Magnoliopsida; Poales; Poaceae.